GAACACGGCCGAGGAAGUGGUUCUUACGAGCGCCGCUGGGGCUGCCCAUCCUCUUGUCGUUGUAGACCUCGACAUCGAGCUCCUGGGCGACCAUGGAAGCGGGGUUAGCCACGGCGAACUCGAGGCGCUCGUUCCACUGCGGGUUGAGGUCGCGGGCGACGGUGUGGGUUCGCUUCCGCUGGCCGUCGAAUUCGACGAUGACGAACGGGCUGGAGGUGCCAUGGCCGUCCUUGGGGACGAGGUCGCGGGCGUCGAUGACCUCGACGGCGAGUUUGCUGACGGUGUGGGCCGGCGGGCUCGUCAUGGUCUCAUGUCGAGCCAGGCCGAUGGGAGGAG
Molecule: long non-coding RNA, 336 nt
Filed under: Musa acuminata (dwarf banana)
Lineage: Eukaryota; Viridiplantae; Streptophyta; Magnoliopsida; Zingiberales; Musaceae
Description: long non-coding RNA (MACU_LNC000252)
Source: RNAcentral